GAUGAACGCUGACAGAAUGCUUAACACAUGCAAGUCAACUUGAAUUUGGGUUUUUAACUUAGAUUUGGGUGGCGGACGGGUGAGUAACGCGUAAAGAACUUGCCUCACAGCUAGGGACAACAUUUAGAAAUGAAUGCUAAUACCUGAUAUUAUGAUUUUAAGGCAUCUUAGAAUUAUGAAAGCUAUAAGCACUGUGAGAGAGCUUUGCGUCCCAUUAGCUAGUUGGAGGGGUAACAGCUCACCAAGGCGAUGAUGGGUAGCCGGCCUGAGAGGGUGAACGGCCACAAGGGGACUGAGACACGGCCCUUACUCCUACGGGAGGCAGCAGUGGGGAAUAUUGGACAAUGGACCGAGAGUCUGAUCCAGCAAUUCUGUGUGCACGAUGAAGUUUUUCGGAAUGUAAAGUGCUUUCAGUUGGGAAGAAAGAAAUGACGGUACCAACAGAAGAAGUGACGGCUAAAUACGUGCCAGCAGCCGCGGUAAUACGUAUGUCACGAGCGUUAUCCGGAUUUAUUGGGCGUAAAGCGCGUCUAGGUGGUUAUGUAAGUCUGAUGUGAAAAUGCAGGGCUCAACUCUGUAUUGCGUUGGAAACUGUGUAACUAGAGUACUGGAGAGGUAAGCGGAACUACAAGUGUAGAGGUGAAAUUCGUAGAUAUUUGUAGGAAUGCCGAUGGGGAAGCCAGCUUACUGGACAGAUACUGACGCUAAAGCGCGAAAGCGUGGGUAGCAAACAGG
RNAcentral lists this ribosomal RNA (735 nucleotides) under uncultured Fusobacterium sp. RNAcentral's name for it is "bacterial SSU rRNA". It matches the Rfam family "Bacterial small subunit ribosomal RNA", at positions 28 to 776 of the family's 1533-position model. The record is from RNAcentral. Lineage: Bacteria; Fusobacteriati; Fusobacteriota; Fusobacteriia; Fusobacteriales; Fusobacteriaceae.